RNAcentral lists this long non-coding RNA (1648 nucleotides) under Manacus vitellinus (golden-collared manakin). Its description in RNAcentral is "lncRNA (ENSMVIG00005009000.1)". The record is from RNAcentral. Lineage: Eukaryota; Metazoa; Chordata; Aves; Passeriformes; Pipridae.
AACUAAAGCCCUGCUUCGGAAAAGCGUCGGGAUUGCUACAUAAAGCACUUGGACGCUGAGAAAUGCCACAGCUGAAGUCGUGUCUGUGCUCACUCUGUAUUUUCAGUGGCACAGUGACACGCCAGACCUCCGUCUCUCACCUAGGGGUAUUCUUCUUUUCAGGCCCCCUGUGUUUUCCUGCCUGCGCUCCCCCUUUGACCAGGGAUGCAGUACCUCUGGCUGCUUAGCUACCCAGGCUCCCUGGUGGCAUUACUAUCUGUAUGAACACAUGGAUUUCUAAACCAUCACCUUCUGCUCUGUCCCUGAGGAGAUCUGGAACACCACUUUGCUGCAGCCUUGAAGCACAUGUUUUGUGUGGGACAUGAAAGCCCAGCCAUGGAGCUGGACACUUGGAUCCUGUGUGGAGUGUGUAAGUUAGGCAAAGUGGGUCUACCAGGUACUCAGCCUUCCUCCACUAAACAGGCACAGUCUGACUCCCCAGGGUCCAGCUAUGACAUCACAGAGCCUCCUUUUUCUUUCCUGUCUUUUGUGCCUUUCUCUGUGGCACGUCCUUGCAGUCCCAAGGAAAUAUCCCUCUGCAGUGAGAACUGCCCUGCCCCCAGCCAGGGAAACAAGUGUGGAAAAGCCAAUGGUCAUCAACCAGUCAGUCCCUAGUCCAGGAUGAGGGCCCAGAUUCCAGGCUGGGAAGGAAGCUGGCAGUGAGGAGCAUUUGGAUGGAUCCCACCAUAGGGAUCAGUUGUGAUACAAAGGACAUGGUCCAGGUCUGCAGGUCAGCAUCCAUAUUCUGUCUGUCCUUGGCCCAGCUCUCCUGGCAUGUUUGUGGGAAAGGGACCUUUGGGUUGGAGUCAUCUUCAUGCACACAGUUUGGGUCCAUUCCCUGCUAUCACUACACCAUGGAGAAAGGGAAAGAAUAGCCAUGCGUUACUGGAUCUCAUGACUGCGCCUAAAGAGGCCCAAAUCCAGGCUAUGCAAACAGCUUCCUGACUCCUGAGCAAUGGAAAUUUGAUCAUUUGUUCAAUGAACCUUUCCUACGUAACCUUCAACCCACACCUCACACCCUCAGAUAGGUUAGCAAGAUAUUUGAGAGCAACAGGAAACUGCUCUACUCUGUGACCUUGCUGGGAAGCUGAAUGAGCUGGGGCGACGUGUCUCCCAUGAGGGAGGAUGGUGGCCUGUGCCGACAGCAGUAGGUCCUGCCUGAAGCCUGGAGCACAAGCUCCAUACUGACUUCUACACAUCAAUAUCUGGCACCCAGUAAGUCCCUACUUGUGUCUCCAAGACAGCUUCUGCUUACCUCAUCAUACACUUGCAUUACCUGCAGCCCCUGUCUCCCUUCAGACAUUCAAUCUCUGUUCCAUGCUGGGAGCAGCAAGGAAAGACUGCUUCCAGAGGGGUGGGAAGCUAGGCAGCAAGGGCUUGAAGUCCACAGGGUGAAGUCCACAGGACCUGAGGAAGGUGAGCAGAGCAGAUCUGAUGACUGACAGAUGCACCAUUUGAGUAAGCCCUCAUUCCAGAGGGCUGAACCCCCAUGAGGGGCGAAUGUACUCAGGGUCCAACAGCUUACUCCACUCUGGUUUACUUUGUCUCAUCAGACUUUGUAGUAAAGAACGAAAAAAACUCAUAUGCCAAAUCAUGAAGCCAAGAUUCA